RNAcentral lists this ribosomal RNA (496 nucleotides) under uncultured bacterium. Its description in RNAcentral is "bacterial SSU rRNA". It matches the Rfam family "Bacterial small subunit ribosomal RNA", at positions 37 to 507 of the family's 1533-position model. The record is from RNAcentral.
UGGCGGCGUGCUUAACACAUGCAAGUCGAACGAGACGAAUUUAGGAGCUUGCUUUUGGCGAGUCGAGUGGCAAACGGGUGAGUAACGCGUAGACAACCUGCCGCAAAGAUGGGACAACAGUCCGAAAGGACUGCUAAUACCGAAUGUUGUAUCUCCUCCGCAUGGAAGAGGAUAUUAAAGAUGGCCUCUACUUGUAAGCUAUCGCUUUGCGAUGGGUCUGCGUCUGAUUAGCUUGUUGGCGGGGUAACGGCCCACCAAGGCAACGAUCAGUAGGGGUUCUGAGAGGAAGGUCCCCCACAUUGGAACUGAGACACGGUCCAAACUCCUACGGGAGGCAGCAGUGAGGAAUAUUGGUCAAUGGGCGAGAGCCUGAACCAGCCAAGUAGCGUGCAGGACGACGGCCCUAUGGGUUGUAAACUGCUUUUAUAAGGGAAUAAAGUGAGUCUCGUGAGGCUUUUUGCAUGUACCUUAUGAAUAAGGACCGGCUAAUUCCGUG